AUAAGAGACGGGUGAGUCAUCGAAUCUUUGAACGCACAUUGCGCCCCUUGGUAUUCCAUGGGGCAUGCCUGUUCGAGCGUCAUUUGUACUCUCAAGCUAAGCUUGGUGUUGGGUGUUUGUCCACUCCCGCGUGUUUGGACUCGCCUUAAAACAAUUGGCAGCCAGUGUUUUGGUAUUGAAGCGCAGCACAAUUUGCGAUCCAAGCCCAUGAAUACUAGCAACCAUCAAGCCCAUUUUUAACGCUUGACCUCGGAUCAGGUAGGGAUACCCGCUGAACUUAAGCAUAUCAAUAAGCGGAGG
Molecule: unclassified non-coding RNA, 300 nt
Filed under: uncultured Wojnowiciella
Lineage: Eukaryota; Fungi; Ascomycota; Dothideomycetes; Pleosporales; Phaeosphaeriaceae
Description: sequence contains 5.8S rRNA gene, ITS2
Rfam family: 5.8S ribosomal RNA (bases 1-82)
Source: RNAcentral